UAAAAGUUAGCUCAUAUUUUGGAACGUUUGCCUACGUUUGCCGCUAGGGGCGCUGUUCCAACUGCAUACAAAAUUGGGCUA
Molecule: microRNA precursor, 81 nt
Filed under: Bombyx mori (domestic silkworm)
Lineage: Eukaryota; Metazoa; Arthropoda; Insecta; Lepidoptera; Bombycidae
Description: mir-2807 microRNA precursor family
Rfam family: mir-2807 microRNA precursor family
Source: Rfam by way of RNAcentral